Molecule: long non-coding RNA, 1852 nt
Organism: Perca fluviatilis (European perch)
Lineage: Eukaryota; Metazoa; Chordata; Actinopteri; Perciformes; Percidae
Exons: 4
Source: RefSeq, a predicted model, not a curated record
AAGACUCUGAGACCUCUGAACGUAGCAACUUGAGCGGAUGAAUUUAUGGAUUAUGAAUCAUCUUCAUAAAGGUGAAUGGAGGACGUUAUCAAGUCAGUCAGAGGCUGGACGGUAAGUCCCUUCUUAUAUACUGUCUAUGGGAAGUCCCACACAGCAGUCUCCUUCCUUCGGGUUAGGCAAUAAUCAUCCGGGGAACUGUCCACUCGCCGUAGCCGGAUACACAAACACACACACGGUUCCUGUGUCCCGUUGCUAACUUACAGCUAGCUUAUGCUAACGUCUGUACUGUUGCUACUUUGGCUGUUCGGGGGCGAAUAAACAAACGACCCCGCGGUCACAUUCACCGGAAUGAUGCUAGGAGAAAAGUAGGCAUCGCUGUGAGAAGGAAUAUGGCGUUUGGUAUCGGUUUUGUUUGUGUUUCUGCAAAUAGACGGUUGCAGGUGGACUGGUGUUUACAUGGUCCGUGGGAGCUGGAAGUCCGCAGCUGUGUGGCGGCUGCAGUGAUUUUAUGUGUCUCCUAGCUGCAGACCUGCAGCCUCAAUGGAUGUCAUCUGGGAAGAAGAAGAGGAGCCUUGUAGAGACCAGCUGAAGGAACAUCUUCUCUGAGCUGAAGCUCUGAGAUGAGUGCAGAGUUUCCGGACCACAACGGAGAAGUUCCUUCACUCCAUUCAUGCCUUCUUCUCUCCGUACUCACUGUAUAGUCACAGUAUUGUAUGUCAUGAAAUAAUUUAAUAAAAAAGUAAGUAGGCUAAUAGUACGUAUUAUGUCAAAAAAAGCUCAGAAAAGUCAUACAUAAUGUCAAAAAGUGUUAUUACAUAGUUAUUACAUUGUUAUAAGAUGUAUUAUGACCAAAAUCUAUCAAAAAGUAAAACAAAAAGUGUUAUUACAUAGUUAUUACAUUGUUAUAACAUGUAUUAAUGACAAAAAAAUCUAUCAAAAAGUUAAAAAAAAUGUCAAAAAGUGUUAUUACACAGUUGUACACAGUACAUGCCAUAAAAGUGGGUGUAAAUUAUUGUUUCGUCCAUGAAAAAAAAAUUCAAAUUUUUUUUUCUGAAUUUAGGAUGUUCUCUUCCUUUGUCCUACUCUGGUCUCUCCCUUUCUCUGAGGUGUCCUACUCUUGUCUCUCCCUUUCUCUGCGGUGUCCUACUCUUCUCUGAGUUGUCCUACUCUGGUCUCUCCCUUUCUCUGAGGUGUUCUACUCUUCUCUGAGUUGUCCUACUCUGGUCUUUCCCUUUCUCUGAGUUGUCCUACUCUGGUCUCUCCCUUUCUCUGAGGUGUCCUACUCUGGUCUCUCCCUUUCUCUAAGGUGUCCUACUCUGGUCUCUCCCUUUCUCUGAGGUGUCCUACUCUUGUCUCUCCCUUUCUCUGCGGUGUCCUACUCUUCUCUGAGUUGUCCUACUCUGGUCUCUCCCUUUUUCUGAGUUUUCCUACUCUGGUCUCUGCCUGUCCUUGUCUUAAUACUCUCCUACUCUCUCCUUGCCUGCACUUCCUUUCCUAGCCUCUCUUUCCUAUCUGGGGGGCCUAUCUAAGUGCACAUACGCUGAUACCGAGCUGGUCUUGAACCCGUCACUGGCGCCUUUAGUGGCGAGGACAAACCAACCGCGCCACCAGCGCACGUACGCAUGCAGCUGUUCUCCGGGUGUAUUUGUCUUUGUCAUUCUGUGUGUAAAGCUCAAAAUAAAUUGACUGUUCUUGUGUUGGAACCCAUAACCUUUGUGUCUCUUAACCAGCGUUCCAUCACUCUGAGCUAUCAGAUCUGAUCACUAAGCUUAUUGUUAGUUGUGUAUUUGUCUUUGUCAUUCUGGGUGUAAAACUCAAAAUAAAUUGUUUAUUCCUGUAUUGGAACCCAUAA